Molecule: ribosomal RNA, 496 nt
Filed under: uncultured bacterium
Lineage: Bacteria
Description: partial 16S ribosomal RNA
Rfam family: Bacterial small subunit ribosomal RNA
Source: RNAcentral
AUGAACGCUGGCGGCGUGCCUAAUACAUGCAAGUCGAGCGAACGGACGAGAAGCUUGCUUCUCUGAUGUUAGCGGCGGACGGGUGAGUAACACGUGGAUAACCUACCUAUAAGACUGGGAUAACUUCGGGAAACCGGAGCUAAUACCGGAUGAUAUUUUGAACCGCAUGGUUCAAAAGUGAAAGACGGUCCUGCUGUCACUUAUAGAUGGAUCCGCGCUGCAUUAGCUAGUUGGUAAGGUAACGGCUUACCAAGGCAACGAUGCAUAGCCAACCUGAGAGGGUGAUCGGCCACACUGGAACUGAGACACGGUCCAGACUCCUACGGGAGGCAGCAGUAGGGAAUCUUCCGCAAUGGGCGAAAGCCUGACGGAGCAACGCCGCGUGAGUGAUGAAGGUCUUCGGAUCGUAAAACUCUGUUAUUAGGGAAGAACAUAUGUGUAAGUAACUGUGCACAUCUUGACGGUACCUAAUCAGAAAGCCACGGCUAACUACGUG